UGGGGAAUUUUGGACAAUGGGCGAAAGCCUGAUCCAGCAAUGCCGCGUGUGUGAAGAAGGCCUUCGGGUUGUAAAGCACUUUUGUCCGGAAAGAAAUCCUUGGCUCUAAUACAGUCGGGGGAUGACGGUACCGGAAGAAUAAGCACCGGCUAACUACGUGCCAGCAGCCGCGGUAAUACGUAGGGUGCAAGCGUUAAUCGGAAUUACUGGGCGUAAAGCGUGCGCAGGCGGUUUGCUAAGACCGAUGUGAAAUCCCCGGGCUAACCUGGGAACUCAUUGGUGACUGGCAGGCUAGAGUAUGGCAGAGGGGUAGAAUUCCACGUGUAGCAGUGAAAUGCGUAGAGAUGUGGAGGAAUACCGAUGGCGAAGGCAGCCCCCUGGGCCAAAUACUGACGCUCAUGCACGAAAGCGUGGGGAGCAAACAGGAUUAGA
Molecule: ribosomal RNA, 432 nt
Filed under: uncultured bacterium
Lineage: Bacteria
Description: partial 16S ribosomal RNA
Rfam family: Bacterial small subunit ribosomal RNA
Source: RNAcentral